UACGUAGGGGGCAAGCGUUGUCCGGAUUUAUUGGGCGUAAAGAGCGUGUAGGCGGCCAAACAGGUCCACUGUGAAAGCUCGAGGCUCAACCUCGAGAGGUCGGUGGAAACCGUCUGGCUAGAGUCCGGAAGAGGAGAGUGGAAUUCCCGGUGUAGCGGUGAAAUGCGCAGAUAUCGGGAAGAACACCCGUGGCGAAGGCGGCUCUCUGGGACGGUACUGACGCUGAGACGCGAAAGCGUGGGGAGCGAACAGG
This 253-nucleotide ribosomal RNA is filed under the name uncultured bacterium. RNAcentral describes it as "partial 16S ribosomal RNA". It matches the Rfam family "Bacterial small subunit ribosomal RNA", at positions 524 to 776 of the family's 1533-position model. The record is from RNAcentral.